UGCGAGGGCAUAUAGCCCUCGCUUUUCUGUACCGUAAGGUGGUACAGGAACAAGGACUGGGCAAGACCGGUGCCAGCCGCCGCGGUAAUACCGGCAGUCCAAGUGAUGGCCGAUAUUAUUGGGCCUAAAGCGUCCGUAGCCGGCCGGACAAGUCCGUUGGGAAAUCGACGCGCUCAACGCGUCGGCGUCCAGCGGAAACUGUCCGGCUUGGGGCCGGAAGACCUGAGGGGUACGUCCGGGGUAGGAGUGAAAUCCUGUAAUCCUGGACGGACCACCAAUGGGGAAACCACCUCAGGAAGACGGACCCGACGGUGAGGGACGAAAGCANGGGUCUCNAACCGGAUU
RNAcentral lists this ribosomal RNA (345 nucleotides) under uncultured archaeon. RNAcentral describes it as "bacterial SSU rRNA". It matches the Rfam family "Archaeal small subunit ribosomal RNA", at positions 385 to 730 of the family's 1478-position model. The record is from RNAcentral.